UACGUAGGUGGCAAGCGUUGUUCGGAAUUACUGGGCGUAAAGGGCACGUAGGCGGCCCGCUAAGUCGAACGUGAAGUCCCCGAGCUCAACUCGGGAACUGCGUCCGAUACUGGCGGGCUUGAAUCCGGGAGAGGGAUGCGGAAUUCCAGGUGUAGCGGUGAAAUGCGUAGAUAUCUGGAGGAACACCGGUGGCGAAGGCGGCAUCCUGGACCGGUAUUGACGCUGAGGCGCGAAAGCCAGGGGAGCAAACGGG
RNAcentral lists this ribosomal RNA (253 nucleotides) under uncultured bacterium. RNAcentral describes it as "partial 16S ribosomal RNA". It matches the Rfam family "Bacterial small subunit ribosomal RNA", at positions 524 to 776 of the family's 1533-position model. The record is from RNAcentral.